AACGAACGCUGGCGGCAGGCCUAACACAUGCAAGUCGAACGCACCGCAAGGUGAGUGGCGCACGGGUGAGUAACACGUGGGAAUGUACCCUUUGGUUCGGAAUAACGUUUGGAAACGAACGCUAAUACCGGAUGAGCCCUGCGGGGGAAAGAUUUAUCGCCAAAGGAGCAGCCCGCGUCUGAUUAGCUAGUUGGUGGGGUAAAGGCCUACCAAGGCGACGAUCAGUAGCUGGUCUGAGAGGAUGAUCAGCCACACUGGGACUGAGACACGGCCCAGACUCCUACGAGAGGCAGCAGUGGGGAAUAUUGGACAAUGGGCGCAAGCCUGAUCCAGCCAUGCGCGUGAGUGAUGAAGGCCCUAGGGUUGUAAAGCUCUUUCAACGGUGAAGAUAAUAGACGGUAACCGUAGAAGAAGACCCC
RNAcentral lists this ribosomal RNA (419 nucleotides) under uncultured bacterium. Its description in RNAcentral is "bacterial SSU rRNA". It matches the Rfam family "Bacterial small subunit ribosomal RNA", at positions 29 to 495 of the family's 1533-position model. The record is from RNAcentral.